RNAcentral lists this ribosomal RNA (253 nucleotides) under uncultured bacterium. Its description in RNAcentral is "partial 16S ribosomal RNA". It matches the Rfam family "Bacterial small subunit ribosomal RNA", at positions 524 to 776 of the family's 1533-position model. The record is from RNAcentral.
UACGAAGGGGGCGAGCGUUAUUCGGAAUCACUGGGCGUAAAGCGUGCGUAGGCUGUCUUGAAAGUUGGAAGUGAAAGCCCAGGGCUCAACCCUGGAAUUGCUUUCAAAACUACAAGACUCGGAUUUGGGAGAGGAUAGCGGAAUUGUCAGUGUAGCAGUGAAAUGCGUAGAUAUUGACAGGAACACCAGUGGCGCAAGCGGCUAUCUGGACCAACAUCAACGCUGAGGCACGAAAGCGUGGGGAGCAAACAGG